AUGAACUACCUCAGGAGCCGGAGCCUGAAGCGGCUCCUGUCCAUCGGCCGCCGGAGCAACCCCGACGAGGACUGCGUCGUCGAGGCCGAGCCCCCGCCGCCGGUGGCGGUGGCGCCGAGCAAGCCCGCAUGGAGGUGCUUCUCCUACGAGGAGGUUGACCAGGCCACCAACGGCUUCCACCCAGACAACGUGGUGGGGCGUGGCGGGUACGGCGAGGUGUACUGCGGCAUCCUGGCGGACGGGCGGGCCGUGGCGGUGAAGCGGCUGGCGGCGGCGGCGGCGGACGAGAAGAAGGAGAAGGACUUCCUGACGGAGCUGGGCACGGUGGGCCACGUGCGCCACCCCAACGUCUCCUCCCUCCUCGGCUGCUGCGUCGACCGCGGCCUCCACCUCGUCUUCGACUUCUCCACCCGCGGCUCCGUCUCCGCAAACCUCCACGACGAGAAGCGGCCGGUGAUGACGUGGAGCCAGCGGCACGGCGUGGCGGUGGGCACGGCGCGGGGGCUCCGCUACCUCCACAAGGGCUGCGCGCGCCGGAUCAUCCACCGGGACAUCAAGGCCUCCAACAUCCUCCUCGACGCCGACUACCAGCCCCAGAUUUCCGACUUCGGGCUCGCACGGUGGCUGCCGUCGGAGUGGACGCACCACGCCAUCGCGCCCAUCGAGGGCACCUUCGGGUGCCUGGCGCCGGAGUACUUCACGCACGGCAUCGUGGACGAGAAGACGGACGUGUUCGCCUUCGGCGUCUUCCUCCUCGAGCUCAUCUCCGGCCGGAAGCCCGUCGACGGCUCCCACAUGAGCCUCCUCGCAUGGGCCAAGCCUUACCUGAAGGACGGCGUGGUGCAAGGGCUGGUGGACCCGCGGCUCGGCGACGGCGGCUACGACGCCGGCCAGCUCCGGCGGCUCAUGUUCGUCGCCUCGCUCUGCGCCAGGUCCGCUGCCGCGUGGCGUCCCACCAUGACAGAGGUGCUGGAGCUGCUGGAGUCGUCGGCCGAGAUAUCGCAGGAACGGUGGCAGAUGCCGGAGGAGGCGGUGGAGGACGAGUUCUGGGACUUCGACGACCUCACCGACUUCGAGGACGACGACUACGACGACGAUGACUACGACGGCGAAUCCGAUUCCCCCUCGAUACCCUCGUCGGCGUGCAGCAUCCACGCCAAUGAUUGA
RNAcentral lists this ribosomal RNA (1167 nucleotides) under Triticum aestivum (bread wheat). RNAcentral describes it as "partial small subunit ribosomal RNA". The record is from RNAcentral. Lineage: Eukaryota; Viridiplantae; Streptophyta; Magnoliopsida; Poales; Poaceae.